CCCUGUCCAUUUUGCAGGCCAGCUGGCAUGCCCCUGUGACUCAUGGCCAGUGUCUUCGAAUGGGAAAGGUAUGCAGCUUGCGCCCGAACUGCGGCGAGGUCGGGAGGCACGAAACCCGGCACUCAGCACCGGCCACACACACACACACACACACACACACACACAGUAGGCGCGUAGGGUGUAGACCCGGCUGUAGUUCUCCAGGCCAAUAGAAAUCCGGCCUCUGGGAGGUCGGAGGUGAAGAGCACAGAUCUGCACCACUGUUAGCCCUCAAGGUCGCCUGCCGGGGUCAGCGGCGCCCUGCCUCCCCACCCCCACUGAGCCACGUGACCUCAAAGAGCCGCCGAGGCUCUGGAACGCGGCGACCCCAGCCUGGAAGGGCGGCGCGGGGUAGGGGAGGGAGGAGGGCCGCUCAGGGGCCCGGACUGGAGCGGUGGGGGUGGCGCGAGAAGGGGCCCCUUCCCUCUUUUCCCAGCAGGGCGAAUUGGGUGGAGCGAGAGAAGAGGGAGGUUUGGCUUGGUCCAGGGAAGCUCUUUGGCUCAGGAACACCCAGUGUGACUUCAAUAGUCAUAGGAGAUCAACAGGAUGAUCACUCCAAGUGAGCUCCACCCCUCCUGUCCAUGGUGCAGCUAGGGGGGUGGGCAGUGCUACUGUUUCCAAAUUGCUUCUCAACCAACUCUCUCACCAAAAAACAGAGGAGGUAAGUGACCAGGACAGAGCCAGGGGGCUUUGGGGAGGGUUUUUAGGCCACGAAAGCCCUGGCUUCAACCAUCACCCUUGAACCAAAUGAAAGGGACUGAAUAAAGUUAUACAGCAAGCAAUGGGCCUUGGACCUGUAGGCAGAAGGCUAUGCAUGAGGCUGUUGCAGGCCACUUAGAUGGCCACUUGGAUCCACCUCCCUCACCACCUUAACUGUAGGAAAGAGGCCCACUGAGACCCCAGAUAGCUUUUUAGAGUGGAAACCUGUUCCCAAUGAUCUGGGGAGAGAGCACCGAGAAGCCAGGCA
This 1006-nucleotide long non-coding RNA is filed under the name Fukomys damarensis (Damara mole-rat). RNAcentral's name for it is "lncRNA (ENSFDAG00000026431.1)". The record is from RNAcentral. Lineage: Eukaryota; Metazoa; Chordata; Mammalia; Rodentia; Bathyergidae.